GUUCCUGUAGCGCAGUGGGUAGCGCUUUGAACUUCUAAUCCAAAGGUCGUGGGUUCGAAAUCCCACCUGGGAUG
Non-coding RNA from Trichonephila clavipes, 74 nucleotides. The record is from the annotation of a GenBank genome assembly. Lineage: Eukaryota; Metazoa; Arthropoda; Arachnida; Araneae; Nephilidae.